Molecule: ribosomal RNA, 2042 nt
Filed under: marine metagenome
Description: bacterial LSU rRNA
Rfam family: Bacterial large subunit ribosomal RNA
Source: RNAcentral
UCAAGGAACUAAGAGUUUAUGGGGGAUACCUUGGCAUUCAGAAGCGAUGAAGGACGUGGUUACCGACGAUACGCUUCGGGGAGCUGGAAACAAGCUAUGAUCCGGAGGUCUCCGAAUGAGGAAACUUUAAUAUAACUGCUUAUUGAAUUCAUAGAUAAGUAAGAGCGAACCUAGGGAAUUGAAACAUCUUAGUACCUGGAGGAAGAGAAAGUAAAAACGAUUCCCUGAGUAGCGGCGAGCGAAACGGGAACAGCCUAAACUCAAUUCAAAAUUGAGGGUAGUGGGACAAUUACAAACGAUACUGUGACAAUUAGAAGAACAAGUUUGGAAUACUUGACCAUAGAGAGUGAUAGUCUCGUAUUCGAAAAUUGAAACAAUCAAAUUGAAUCCCAAGUAGCAUGGAGCACGUGAAAUUCCGUGUGAAUCUGCGAGGACCACCUCGUAAGGCUAAAUAUUCCUGAAUGACCGAUAGUGAAACAGUACCGUGAGGGAAAGGUGAAAAGAACCCCGGGAGGGGAGUGAAAAGAACAUGAAACCGUAAACUUACAAGCAGUAGAAGGACGACUAAAACGUCUGCCUGCGUGCCUGUUGAAGAAUGAGCCGGCGACUCAUAGGUAGUGGCAGGUUAAGGCAGUGAAUGCUGGAGCCACAGUGAAAGCGAGCCUGAAUAGGGCGUUUGUCACUAGUUAUGGACCCGAACCCGGGUGAUCUAACCAUGGUCAGGUUGAAGCUUAGGUAAUACUAAGUGGAGGACCGAACCGACUGAUGUUGAAAAAUCAGCGGAUGAAUUGUGGUUAGGGGUGAAAUGCCAAUCGAACUCGGAGCUAGCUGGUUCUCCCCGAAAUGCGUUUUGGCGCAGCGGUAGAUGUUAUAGCUUAGGGGUAAAGCACUGUUACGUAUGCGGGCUGGUAAUUCGGUACCAAAUCGUUGCAAACUAAGAAUACUAAGUGUACAGUCUACCAGUAAGACUGUGGGGGAUAAGCUCCAUUGUCAAGAGGGAAACAGCCCAGAGCACCAGUUAAGGCCCUUAAAUAAUUACUAAGUGAUAAAGGAGGUGGGAGUGCAUAAACAAUCAGGAGGUUUGCUUAGAAGCAGCAAUCCUUUAAAGAGUGCGUAAUAGCUCACUGAUCGAGUAAACCUGCGCCGAAAAUGAACGGGACUAAGUAAUUUGCCGAAACUGUGCGAUAUAUAGAAAUAUAUCGGUAGGGGAGCGUUCUGUUGUAGGUCGAAGUAUUAGCGUAAGCGGAUAUGGACGAAGCAGAAGUGAGAAUGUCGGCUUGAGUAACGAAAAUAUAGGUGAGAAUCCUAUACCCCGAAAACCCAAGGUUUCCUCCGGAAGGCUCGUCCGCGGAGGGUAAGUCAGGACCUAAGGCGAGGCUGAAAAGCGUAGUCGAUGGACAACUGGUUAAUAUUCCAGUACCAUUUUUUAUUGACAACGAGGGACGGAGAAGGCUAAACCAGCCGGAUAUUGGUUACCGGUUUAAACGUUCGAGAUGUUGAGAAGCGGCGAAAACGCUUUGAGUUGAGACGUGAGUACGAGACGCUAAGGCGUUGAAGUGGUGUAUGUCAUACUUCCAAGAAAAGCUUGCACUGUCAUAAAUAAAAAAUGCCUGUACCAUAACCGACACAGGUGGGUAGGUAGAGUAUACUAAGGGGCGCGAGAUAACUCUCUCUAAGGAACUCGGCAAAAUGACUCCGUAACUUCGGGAGAAGGAGUGCCUUAUUCGUAAGGCUGCAAUAACAAGAUCCAAGCAACUGUUUAUCAAAAACACAGGUCUCCGCUAAGUCGUAAGACGAUGUAUGGGGGCUGACGCCUGCCCAGUGCCAGAAGGUUAAAGAAGUUGGUUAGCAUUAGCGAAGCUGAUAACUGAAGCCCUGGUGAACGGCGGCCGUAACUAUAACGGUCCUAAGGUAGCGAAAUUCCUUGUCGGGUAAGUUCCGACCCGCACGAAAGGCGUAAUGAUUUGGAUACUGUCUCGGAGAGGGGCUCGGUGAAAUAGACUUGUCUGUGAAGAUGCGGACUACCUGCACCAGGACAGAAA